AUACUUACCUGGACGGGGUCAAUGGGUGAUCAAGAAGGCCCAUGGCCUAGGGCAGUGACCUCCAUUGCACUCAGGAGGGGUGCUCUCCUAAGGUCUACCCAAGUGGUGGAGCCUACGUCAUAAUUUGUGGCAGUGGGGGCCAGCGUUCGCGCGGCCCCUCUCAAUUUUAGUUGAGUUUUUUAAGUCAUUAUACUCUAUAAUUUGUCCUUCAAUAAAUAAAUUAUUACUUCGUAGAAGUAUUAACAAAUUGUAUAAUCCAAUUUAUUUAAUACCUUAUAUUAUAAUAAUCUUUUUAUUAAUUAUUACCUUGUUUGAAAUCUUAUUCUUUAAUGGUAAGUUUUCUUUUUUCAAAAUAUUUGUGUAAUCCAUCCCUUUUCACUACGGUCUUGUUGAAAUAUGGAGCGUACCUUGCGAUAUUCUGUUUGUUGGUUAUCUAUACUAUAUGUUUCAUUACUAAUAAAUCUAUGGAGCGUCCUUUGCG
Non-coding RNA from Lupinus albus (white lupine), 481 nucleotides. Lineage: Eukaryota; Viridiplantae; Streptophyta; Magnoliopsida; Fabales; Fabaceae. The record is from the annotation of a GenBank genome assembly.